GUCAGGCAGCGGCACGGGACUUCGGUCUGGUGGCAGUGGCGAACGGGUGAUAAUGUAUCGGAACGUGCCUAGUAGCGGGGGAUAACUACGCGAAACGUAGCUAAUACCACAUACGCCCUUCGGGGGAAAGCUAAGGGGACCUUCGGGCCUCGCACUAUUAGAGCGGCCGAUAUCGGAUUAGCUAGUUGGUGGAGUAACGGCUCACCAGACGACGAUCCGUAGCUGGUUUGGGAGGACUGACCAGCCACACUGGGACUGAAUACAGCCCAGACUCCUACGGGAGGCAGCAGUGGGGUACCUGGACAAUGGGGGAAACCCUGAUCCAGCCAUCCCGCGUGUGCGAUGAAGCCUUCGGGUUGCCAGCACUUUUGGCAGGAAAUAAGAAACGGCACGGGAUAUACCCAUUGCAACUGACAGUACCUGCAGAAUGGCACCGGCUAACUACGAUACCAGCAGCCGCGGUAAUACGUAGGGUGCAAGCGUUAAUCGGAGUUACUGGGCGUAAAGCGUGCGCAGGCGGUUCGGAAGAAGAGAUGCUUAAUCCAAGAGCUUAACUGGAACUGCAUUUUUAACUACCGAGCUAGUGUGUCAGAGAGGGAGGUGGAAUUCCGCGUGUAGCAGUGAAAUACGCGUAGUCUGCGGAGGAACACCGAUGGCGAAGGCAGCCUCCUGGGAUGCUUUUGACGCUCAUGCACGAAAGCGUGGGGAGCAAACAGGAUUAGAUACCCUGGUAAUUCACGCCCUAAACGAUGUCAACUAGCUGUUGGGGCCUUCCGGGCCUUGGUAAGCCUGCAGCUAACGCGUGAGAUUGACCGCCUAGGAGAUACGGGAGUCGCAAGAUUAAAACUCAAAGGAAUUGACGGGGACCCGCACAAGCGGUGGAUGAUAAUGGAUUAAUUCGAUGCAACGCGAAAAACCUUACCUACCCUUGACAUGUCUGGAAUCGAAGAGAUUUGGGAGUGCUCGCAAGAGAACCGGAACACAGGUGCUGCAUGGCUGUCGUCAGCUCGUGUCGUGAGGAUGUUGGGUUAAGUCCCGCAACGAGCACAACCCUUGUCAUUAGUUGCUACGAAAGGGCACUCUAAUGGGAACUGCCGGUGACAAACGGAGGAAGGUGGGGAUGACGUCAAGUCCUCAUGGCCCUUAUGGGUAGGGCCCCACGCGUCUGCAAUGGUCGGGACAGAGGGUCGCCAACCCGCGAGGGGGAGCCAAUCCGAAACCCGAUCAUCGAAAUCCGGAUCGCAGUCUGCAACUCGACUGCGUGAAGUCAGGAAUCGCUAGUAAUCGCGGAUCAGCAUGUCUGCGGUAGACCGUUCCCGGGGUCUUGUACCACCGCCCAUCACACCAUGGGGAAUAGGUUUUACCAGUAGUUAGCCUAACCGUAAGGAGGGCGAUUACCACGGUAGGAUUCAUGACUGGGGUGAAGUCGUAACAAGGUAA
RNAcentral lists this ribosomal RNA (1440 nucleotides) under uncultured Bordetella sp. Its description in RNAcentral is "partial 16S-23S ribosomal RNA intergenic spacer". It matches the Rfam family "Bacterial small subunit ribosomal RNA". The record is from RNAcentral. Lineage: Bacteria; Pseudomonadati; Pseudomonadota; Betaproteobacteria; Burkholderiales; Alcaligenaceae.